Molecule: transfer RNA, 86 nt
Filed under: Pseudonocardia sulfidoxydans NBRC 16205
Lineage: Bacteria; Bacillati; Actinomycetota; Actinomycetes; Pseudonocardiales; Pseudonocardiaceae
Description: tRNA-Cys
Source: RNAcentral
GGCCGGGCUGGCCCGGCGGCGCGGCGGUCGGCAAGACCGCGGUCAGCUCGUCGAUGAUCGACCGGGUCACCGCCGACCUCGGGCGC